UGGGCGCUAGAUGUGGGUCACAUUCCACGUGAUCCGUGUCGCAGCUAACGCAUUAAGCGCCCCGCCUGGGGAGUACGGCCGCAAGGCUAAAACUCAAAGGAAUUGACGGGGGCCCGCACAAGCGUCGGAGCAUGCGGAUUAAUUCGAUGCAACGCGAAGAACCUUACCAAGGCUUGACAUAUAGAGGAAAACUGCAGAAAUGUAGUCCCCGCAAGGUCUCUAUACAGGUGGUGCAUGGUUGUCGUCAGCUCGUGUCGUGAGAUGUUGGGUUAAGUCCCGCAACGAGCGCAACCCUCGUCCUAUGUUGCCAGCACGUUAUGGUGGGAACUCAUGGGAGACUGCCGGGGUCAACUCGGAGGAAGGUGGGGAUGACGUCAAAUCAUCAUGCCCCUUAUGUCUUGGGCUUCACGCAUGCUACAAUGGCCGGUACAAAGGGCUGCAAUACCGCAAGGUGGAGCGAAUCCCAAAAAGCCGGUCUCAGUUCGGAUUGAGGUCUGCAACUCGACCUCAUGAAGUCGGAGUCGCUAGUUAUCGCAGAUCAGCAACGCUGCGGUGAAUACGUUCCCGGGCCUUGUACACACCGCCCGUCAAGUCACGAAAGUCGGUAACACCCGAAGCCGGUGGCCUAACCGUAAGGAAGGAGCCGUCGAAG
RNAcentral lists this ribosomal RNA (652 nucleotides) under uncultured Actinomycetes bacterium. RNAcentral's name for it is "bacterial SSU rRNA". It matches the Rfam family "Bacterial small subunit ribosomal RNA", at positions 810 to 1461 of the family's 1533-position model. Lineage: Bacteria; Bacillati; Actinomycetota; Actinomycetes. The record is from RNAcentral.